Molecule: ribosomal RNA, 158 nt
Filed under: Lasiodiplodia theobromae
Lineage: Eukaryota; Fungi; Ascomycota; Dothideomycetes; Botryosphaeriales; Botryosphaeriaceae
Description: partial 28S ribosomal RNA
Rfam family: Eukaryotic large subunit ribosomal RNA (bases 101-158)
Source: RNAcentral
UCGGCGGUGGCUGUUCAGCCCUCAAGCGUAGUAGAAUACACCUCGCUUUGGAGUGGUUGGCGUCGCCCGCCGGACGAACCUUCUGAACUUUUCUCAAGGUUGACCUCGGAUCAGGUAGGGAUACCCGCUGAACUUAAGCAUAUCAAUAAGCGGAGGAA